UAGCUUUAAGAAAAUUAUUUAAGGUUUUACCUGCCCAGUGAAAAUUUUAACGGCCGCAGUACUUUGACUGUGCUAAGGUAGCAUAAUAAAUUGGCUUUUAAUUAAAGUCGGGUAUGAAAGGGAUCACGGAAAGUAACUGUCUCAAGUAUAUAUAAUUUUAAUUUAAUCAAUGGGUGAAAAUUCCCAUAGUAAUUUACAUUAGACGAGAAGACCCUAAGAGUUAUAAUUAAGAUGAGUUUAUUUUCAUGUAUCAUUUUUGUUGGGGCAACAUAGACUGGAUUAAACCGUCAUAAAUUAAUUUUACAUAACAGUUAUAUUUAAAAAGAAAUAAACUACCUUAGGGAUAACAGCAUAAUUAAUUUUUAGAUUGUGACCUCGAUGUUGGAUUAAGGACUUUGUUUACUAGCCGUAAACCAAGAUAGUUCUGUUCGAACUGUAACACCUU
This 445-nucleotide ribosomal RNA is filed under the name Vertigo elatior. Its description in RNAcentral is "partial 16S ribosomal RNA". It matches the Rfam family "Archaeal large subunit ribosomal RNA", at positions 1908 to 2666 of the family's 2987-position model. The record is from RNAcentral. Lineage: Eukaryota; Metazoa; Mollusca; Gastropoda; Stylommatophora; Vertiginidae.